GACAGAGGGGGCAAGCGUUGCUCGGAAUUACUGGGCGUAAAGGGCGCGUAGGCGGGAUGGCAAGUCGGUCGUGAAAUCCUUCGGCUCAACCGAAGAACGUCGAUCGAUACUGCUGUUCUUGAGGGUUGCAGAGGAGACUGGAAUUCCCGGUGUAGCGGUGAAAUGUGUAGAGAUCGGGAGGAACACCGGUGGCGAAGGCGGGUCUCUGGGCAAUUCCUGACGCUGAGGCACGAAGGCCAGGGGAGCAAACGGG
RNAcentral lists this ribosomal RNA (253 nucleotides) under uncultured bacterium. Its description in RNAcentral is "partial 16S ribosomal RNA". It matches the Rfam family "Bacterial small subunit ribosomal RNA", at positions 524 to 776 of the family's 1533-position model. The record is from RNAcentral.